CGGAGCGUAGCGCAGCUUGGCUAGCGCGCAGCGUUCGGGACGCUGAGGUCGGGGGUUCAAGUCCCCCCGCUCCGACCA
RNAcentral lists this transfer RNA (78 nucleotides) under Candidatus Auribacterota bacterium. RNAcentral's name for it is "tRNA-Pro". It matches the Rfam family "tRNA". Rfam says of the family: Transfer RNA (tRNA) molecules are approximately 80 nucleotides in length. Lineage: Bacteria; Pseudomonadati; Candidatus Auribacterota. The record is from RNAcentral.